UUACACGAAUAAAAAAAAUUAUUAGCUUUUUCAGUAGAUAAAAUUAUUUAUAUGAUAUUAUUAUGAAUUAUUUUCAUUUAUUCUUUCAAAAAUUAAAUAUUAAGGAUAUUUAUCAUCAAUUGAAAAAUUGUCAAUUAAAAAUUGACAAAAGUGAGAUUCCAUCUAUUUCUAAUCGCAUUUUCCAUCAUGCAAAUUUCACAUUGUGUCUCUCCGGAAUGAUAAGAUAUUUUUUGUUCAUGAAAGAGCGGAAGAACUUUUCCUCACCCACGCGAGAAGAUGAAAUCAUAUGAAUUAUUUAUUCACUAAAAUAGAAUUGUUUAUCGUUUUAUGUACUAUGAAUAGUGGAAAAAUAGAUCAAAAUCAAACUCGUAAAAUAGAUAUUUCAUAAAAUUUUCUAUGAAUGAAACUAUAUGUAAUACAUAAUAUACUAUUUUUAAUUUUAUAUAUAUAUGAAUAAUUGAAAUUUGGUGCAAAACAUUUUAAAUAUUUCAAAGAUUCUUAAUUGAAUUGACAUUUAGCAAUAUUUACGAUCAAUACCUAUUUUCAUGAAAUAUAUUUUUUUUCUUUCUUUCAUUCGCAUUAAAUCUUGAAUGUUACACACUAAGAGAUGGUUUAUGAACAUUACAUACUCAUGUUCGGAAGAAGGAAGGCCAACGAACCCGGCUUUUGGACCUUUCUCCCGCGAAGUUAUACAUUUUCUCCGACCAAUGUUCGUUCGAGAUUCGAUGGCAUCCUUUCUUUUUUUUCUGUGCUUUAAUCAUGAGUUCGGUGCCCUACUUAAUUUUCAAUAUUUUACUUCCGCUUAAUUUCUUCCAAUCUUAUCUAUACAUGCGAAUAUGUUCUAAAUUGAUAUAUAUAUAUAUAUACAUACAUACAUA
This is a long non-coding RNA of Apis cerana (Asiatic honeybee), 878 nucleotides long. RefSeq lists it as uncharacterized. Lineage: Eukaryota; Metazoa; Arthropoda; Insecta; Hymenoptera; Apidae. The record is from RefSeq and is a predicted model, not a curated record.